CCUACGGGUGACAGCAGUGAGGAAUAUUGGUCAAUGGGCGCGAGCCUGAACCAGCCAAGUAGCGUGAAGGAUGACUGCCCUACGGGUUGUAAACUUCUUUUAUAAAGGAAUAAAGUGAGGCACGUGUGCCUUUUUGUAUGUACUUUAUGAAUAAGGAUCGGCUAACUCCGUGCCAGCAGCCGCGGUAAUACGGAGGAUCCGAGCGUUAUCCGGAUGUAUUGGGUUUAAAGGGAGCGUAGAUGGGUUGUUAAGUCAGUUGUGAAAGUUUGCGGCUCAACCGUAAAAUUGCAAUUGAUACUGGCAGCCUUGAGUACAGAUGAGGUAGGCGGAAUUCGUGGUGUAGCGGUGAAAUGCGUAGAUAUAAGGAAGAACUCCGAUGGCGAAGGCAGCCCACUAAACUGCAACUGACAUUGAUGUUCGAAAGUGUGGGUAGCAAACAGGAUUAGAUACCCUUGUAGUC
RNAcentral lists this ribosomal RNA (460 nucleotides) under uncultured bacterium. Its description in RNAcentral is "partial 16S ribosomal RNA". It matches the Rfam family "Bacterial small subunit ribosomal RNA", at positions 338 to 795 of the family's 1533-position model. The record is from RNAcentral.